GAAUUGAAAACCUGAUGUAGGCCUAAGAUUGGUAAGGUGUGACUUUUAUUUUGAAGGAUUAGCGAAUGGCAGCCAUAUUGGAAUUUGUGUUACUGUAGCUAGUUUCACGCUGCUGCUGUUCCAGUCGGACACAAACUGAAGUUGAAACGAUAGGCUAACGAUACGAAAGUGAUAUACGUGUUGUAGCGAAUUUGUUACAGUCUGUGGUUGUAGCCACUCUGUGGUGGCUGUAAUGGAGUCUGACAUGCUAAAAUCUGCAGAAUAUGCAUCUAUGCGCCCCGAAACUGACAUCGACAAACAACUGGGUAGAACUCUUAUAGCUGUCGGGUUGGGUGUUGCAGCCGUGAGCUUUGCAGGUCGUUAUGCAUUCCAGUUGUGGAAGCCUCUAGGACAAGUCAUCUCAGAAACGGCCAAAAAAAUUCCCACUUCUUCAUUCUCUACAUACUACAAAGGAGGGUUUGAGCAGAAGAUGACUAAGCGUGAAGCCAGCCUCAUCCUUGGUAUUAGUCCAACUUCCACAAAAGCAAAGUUGCGAGAAUCUCACAGGAGGAUCAUGGUCCUGAAUCACCCAGACAAAGGUUGAAAGUAGAUGCAAUUUGAAAGAAAAGUCCAGAUUAAACAGCAGAUCAUUUGAGUAUCGAUGAUUCCUAAAUGUGCAAAUAUUUAAACGUUAUGCUUCCUCUGUGUGUUAAGUCCCAUAUGUGGUAAAGUCAGAGUACUUAAGCCAAUUUCUACACUGUUGUGGUGUAAAUAAGCUACAGUAAGCAGCUUAAUGGCAAUAUAUUUAGUUCUCCACAGCUACGUUCUACCCUUACUCCAUGCACUGAAGACAUACAUGUAGCAUGGUAUUUUUACAGAAGGGCUUUUAAAGCCCAGUGUCAUUGUACACUUUGGAGAAUAGAAAUCCCCCCACUGAAGUUUUUCAACCAGCUUCUGUCUUAAACUGUCCUUGAAAAGACACAUUCAAAAGCGUCCCAGUGGGAUGCCAUUUAGAAAUGAUAGCAUUGACAAUAGAGCUGAAAAGGGGGAGGGGUUUGUUCAAAUAACUGUUGGCUUAAUCAGCAGGUCUUGUAUAUUGCCCCUUAACUGCUGGAAGGCUAUGGCUGGCUAGAGUGUUGGCCCGUUUUAUCUUGUCAAGGUUAAUAAUCUCCCCCUCCCCCGCUCACUGAGCUGAGAGAUGUCUAUAGCAUGUGCUAGCCGUAGCCAUUACUCCAUAUCACCGUCUGAAUUUCGCUCACUGAAAUGAGAAACUGUUUCAAAGAUAAGAGCUUGAGGGAAGAGGGAAGCUUCCUGCAGUGGAGUGGGGGGUUGGGCCUUGGUGGUUGGGGACCAAAUAAAUGUCUUCACCUCCUCCCAGCACUGAGCUAACGGAGAGGCCAAAUGUAGCCUUCAUAUCACACACAAACCUCUUUUGUACCAUUUACAGCAGUGUUAAUGUAAUCUUCAUAUCAUGUCACACACACCUCUUUUGUACCAUUUACAGCAGUGUUAAUGUAAUCUUCAGAUCAUGUCACACACACCUCUUUUGUACCAUUUACAGCAGUGGUAAAGCUCCCUUCUUUUUACUUCAACUUCAUCGUUAUUUCCUGUGCAGUGUGUAGGGAGGUAGAUGGAUGUUGGGAUUCUGAUAAGACAGAGGACCAAUUGUUGGAAGGGUGCAGGUUUGGGUUGUACACCAUUGGCUUUUGGAAAUAUGGGUCCAUAGACAUUUACCUCUCCAAGAAAUUGCAAUGAAUAGGCAUGGGAUUUAUAAUCUGAAAGGAUUUCCUCUUUAAUAAAGCUAAUUUUAAUACUGGUAAAAAGUGUCAUUGAAAUGGUUUGGGAGUUUUUGCUGCCAAUAUGAAACUGAAUGAAUAAUGAACAAGUCCUCAAUAAAGUAAACUCUGUAUUGGCUUAACAUUACAGCACUGCAUCCAUGUUUAAGAGUGUUCUAGGGACAUAUGAUGGGCAUAGAUGCCUUCUCUGCCUUUUCUCUUUUCUACAGCACCUGCUUGCUCUGACACAGCUAAUGUAUAACCCACUAUGCCCCUGACCUGAGCAAAGCUGUGGAAGAGGUUUGGCCAGUUUGGUUGUGCCUGACAGAAACCCAUGCGUGGAUCUCCCUAUUUGGCAGCAAAAGUCAAUGAAGCAAAAGACCUCCUUGAGUCAGGCCUACGUGGUUGACUCGUUUUUGUGCUGUCUUAAGGUUGAACUGAAUUCGAGGACCUUAUUCUUAUUUCUAAUCCCUAUUUCCAACAACUCUUUGCACCAGUUCUCAGUAGCACCAAUGACUGAGUGAAUACAGCUUGUAUUAAGGAUGGGGUGAUAAGUACUGUUGAUGUUGAAGGGGCCAAUGUGUUAAAAACGUUUUCAUUGUGUAUCAAACUGUCUGCUUUGUUGUAUUGUACUGAGCGUAAAGGGUGAGUUCACAGGCUCAUUAAACCCAUUACAUGCUGCCUCAGAGGUUGCUAUUGAAUGAUGUAAUGUUGAAAUGGCAGAAAAGUGUUGUGCACAUCAUAUGAACUCUACUGUCCAGGCAUAUCUGUAACAUUGGCUAUAUACAGUCAUUGAUGUGUACACGCAUGCACACCUAUUUAUUUGCAUGAGGUAGAUUUGAUUUGUAUUAGAUUAAUAAAAUGUUUUAGAUGGUCUUUAA
This is an RNA transcript of Alosa sapidissima (American shad), 2635 nucleotides long. It is a transcript of the gene named DnaJ (Hsp40) homolog, subfamily C, member 15, with no coding region annotated. The record is from RefSeq and is a predicted model, not a curated record. The transcript is spliced from 7 exons. Lineage: Eukaryota; Metazoa; Chordata; Actinopteri; Clupeiformes; Clupeidae.